Molecule: ribosomal RNA, 304 nt
Filed under: uncultured bacterium
Lineage: Bacteria
Description: partial 16S ribosomal RNA
Rfam family: Bacterial small subunit ribosomal RNA
Source: RNAcentral
CAGCAGCCGCCGCGGUAAUACGAAGGGGGCUAGCGUUGCUCGGAAUGACUGGGCGUAAAGGGCGCGUAGGCGGCGAUCAAAGUCAGGCGUGAAAUUCCUGGGCUCAACCUGGGGGCUGCGCUUGAUACUUGGUUGCUUGAGUGGGGAAGAGGGUCGUGGAAUUCCCAGUGUAGAGGUGAAAUUCGUAGAUAUUGGGAAGAACACCGGUGGCGAAGGCGGCGACCUGGUCCUUGACUGACGCUGAGGCGCGAAAGCGUGGGGAGCAAACAGGAUUAGAUACCCGUGUAGUCCCUGUCUCUUAUAC